GAUGAAGAAGUUGCGAAAUGCGAUACGUAAUGUGAAUUGCAGAAUUCAGUGAAUCAUCGAGUCUUUGAACGCACAUUGCGCCCCCUGGUAUUCCGGGGGGCAUGCCUGUCCGAGCGUCAUUGCUGCCCUCAAGCACGGCUUGUGUGUUGGGCCUCCGUCCUCCUCCCGGGGGACGGGCCCGAAAGGCAGCGGCGGCACCGCGUCCGGUCCUCGAGCGUAUGGGGCUUCGUCACCCGCUCUUGUAGGCCCGGCCGGCGCUUGCCGACACAUCAAUCUUUUUUCCAGGUUGACCUCGGAUCAGGUAGGGAUACCCGCUGAACUUAAGCAUAUCAAUAAGCGGAGGA
This 344-nucleotide unclassified non-coding RNA is filed under the name soil metagenome. RNAcentral's name for it is "partial contains 5.8S ribosomal RNA, internal transcribed spacer 2, and large subunit ribosomal RNA". The stretch from base 1 to 119 matches the Rfam family "5.8S ribosomal RNA", at positions 35 to 154 of the family's 154-position model. The record is from RNAcentral.